Molecule: long non-coding RNA, 1216 nt
Organism: Hipposideros armiger (great roundleaf bat)
Lineage: Eukaryota; Metazoa; Chordata; Mammalia; Chiroptera; Hipposideridae
Exons: 3
Source: RefSeq, a predicted model, not a curated record
GCGGCCCGCGGGCCGCCAGUUUGACACCCCUGCAGUAGAGGAUCCAGAAAUAACAACUGCAAGAACCUCUGUGUGAAGUGGAGGACCAGCCAGCUCUGCUUAGCAUCCAGGAGCACGUGACAAGUUCUCCUGGGCAGGAACUGCACUUGCACAUUUUCAGCUCAGGGCAGUUUGGCAAAAUGCAAGCUUGGAGAGGGUGUCUGCAUCUGUCACCCGCCCAGGGCCUCAAGGCCCCGUGUGUGCUGCUGGGAACAAAGAGCUAAGGGGCCCAGACGUGUAACUUCAGGAUGUCACCUGGAAGCCACUGGCAUGCAUGGGACAUCAUUUCAAAACAAAAAGGCCUUCCUUUUGCUGUUCCUGUGGAGAAAGCAACACCCCAAAUAUGUAUGAAAUAUUGUACUAAUCAGGAAAGGUGCAAAAUGGACCUCAAACGAUCCUCCAUUCUACUUCUCCAUCAGCUCUGCCCAGUGCCAGGGGCUCACCCAGGGGCAUCUCCAGAGCCCAGGGGCUCUUUGAGCAACUGCAGUCUCGGGAAUCUUCUACAUACAUGAUUACAUCCUUGAAGAUGGCUCAUCAACACGUUAAAAGCACUUCCUCCCACACCUGCAGAAUAGAGCACCAUGAGAUAAAACUAAACCCCAGUGCCAUCUGCAGCAGACUACAAUCCAAACUCCAACGUCAGCAUAUAAACCGAGUCCUCAGAAUAUGGUACAAGCCAUUCACUCUCCACCACUGGAGGUGGGCAGGCAAGAGGACCAGGGCAGAAAACGCAGAGGGAAGAGGGGAAGAAGGAUACAAAGAACACAAAUCCAGGGUUUAGCGUCUUUGUGGAGCCCGUCAACUGGUCAACCCAGACCCUUCAUCCCGAUUCUAGUGGAAGUGGGCUCUCCAGUCAUUUAUUUCACAUACUCUUUAACUGGGAUCGAUCACCCCAGACUUGAACAGAACUCUCUAGUUCUCAACCUCCUGGAGGAGUCAGCCUGGAUCUCUUGCUUCAGGCUUGCAAAUGGGAACAACCAGCCCUCUUCCUUGGAUAUUUUCCUCCUUGGCAGCCAAUGAUGCUACGCUCCUAGCAAGGCUUCUCAGCCCCAGUCCUUUUGCCGGCUCAUGGCUCGGUUCCUCCUGGCUUUGGCCAAGAAUGUUUCCUGGCAUGCUGACAAGGGCACUCUGCCAGUUUAAACCCUUGUUCCAAGUCUCCGUGAGUGGCUGUGUGAGC